AUCUGGUUAGAGAUUCUCCCUGGAGUGCAGGAACAAUGGACAGUCGGCAUACUUAUUAUCUGGUGCUUUUGGUUCGAUUUCGAUACCUAGCAAGGUAAACAUUUAAGGUUCCAAAAAUGGGAUCUCUACAAAUUUUUCCAUUGUGGGACCCGUAAGUGUGAUGAGUAUGUGUACACGAAAGGAGGAACCGCCUCCUACCAAACUGCUUAGCAUUUACAGUAGUAAAAUUAUGGUACUUACACGGACCUGAUAAAUUGAAUUUGCCCAACAACUCUCCAUCAGCACCUUGGCUCUUGCUUCAGUUGGAUCCCACUAGGCGAGCCAAACAUCAAUGACUGAGUUGUAGUUGGUAAUAUACUAUUUGCAAGAUCCUCGUUAAUAGAUACAGGCAGUGGUGGCAUCUGGCUCAUUAUGCCCGGCAUCUCUCUCAUAUCAUUCAGGAUGGCAGUAAUAUUGUUCCUUGUGCGACAAAAGAGGUCAAUGUUAUCCUGUAACUUGAACGUUGAAAGGUUAGCUAUGAUUUUACUAAAAGCUUGAGCAUUUUGUUCCAAGAGAUGCCUG
This 561-nucleotide unclassified non-coding RNA is filed under the name Hevea brasiliensis (rubber tree). Lineage: Eukaryota; Viridiplantae; Streptophyta; Magnoliopsida; Malpighiales; Euphorbiaceae. The record is from RNAcentral.